Long non-coding RNA from Triticum aestivum (bread wheat), 705 nucleotides. RefSeq lists it as uncharacterized. The record is from RefSeq and is a predicted model, not a curated record. The transcript has 2 exons. Lineage: Eukaryota; Viridiplantae; Streptophyta; Magnoliopsida; Poales; Poaceae.
UUUGGGUCAAACCAAAAGGUCGAAGACAAUUGUAGCCGGUGUCCCACAAACUAAGGCUUGUGAAUUUGAUUAACAUUUCUGAAGAAUGCGAUCUCACCCGGACAAUGUUCAUACUCCAAGGUGCAUCCAACCUAAGGAACUGGGCAUCAUGGUGAGGAAUCAUUGGUGUGAAAUGAUAUUGGGGAAGCGGAGGAAGAGGUAUGCGUAGGAGAAGGACAAAGGACUUGAGUGGGAACCAUCUGCAUCUAAUUUCAAACACCAGUCUGGCUGAGCUCAGAAUCUAUGGUAGGUUUAAAGCAGAAGAAAAUUUUGCUAGCUAUGCCAGAUGUGUCAUGGAAGCAGUGGUGAAUCUGAAGGACAUAAAACUAUAUAAGAAUCCAGUGUGUGAUAAUCGGAAGCACAAGGUUCCAAAGGAGUGCACACGCAAGCAGAAGUUGUCUCUUAGGAACAAAAUCACUGAGGGGAUGUCAUCUCUCGUCCGGAUUCACUUUCUAUAUACAAACUGGGAGAAUAAGAAUGUCACAGAGAAGAACAAUGCAUAGUAGUACCAAUGUGUAUUACCUAGGAGAUAGAUGGGAAUGCAAGCAGGAUGUAAGUUAUGUAGGUGGCUAAUGAGCAGAUAAGCCUGUAGCACAUUUCAUACUACUAGAAUAAACAUGGCAAUGCUUUACUGUAGCAAGGAAAACAAAGCUUGGAAAUUUGAUA